RNAcentral lists this ribosomal RNA (2523 nucleotides) under Triticum aestivum (bread wheat). Its description in RNAcentral is "partial small subunit ribosomal RNA". The record is from RNAcentral. Lineage: Eukaryota; Viridiplantae; Streptophyta; Magnoliopsida; Poales; Poaceae.
AUGGAUUCUCGGGCUCUCUGCACCGUGGCCCUGAUCAUUUUAUUCCUGCCGUUGUGCGGCUCGGACGACCGGCUUGUCCCUGGCAAGUCGCUGUAUCCCGGCAACACCAUCAUCUCCGAUGGUGGCACGUUCUCCUUGGGCUUCUUCAACCCCUCCAACUCCACUCCAGCCAAGCUGUACCUUGGUAUAUGGUACAACAACAUCUCUGAGUUCACAGUUGUGUGGGUUGCGAACCGUGAAACCCCAGUCACCAACAUCACUUCCUUUGCACCCAUGCUCUCCCUCACCAACACCUCCAAUCUCAUUAUCUCCGAAGCUAACAAUAGUGUCCGUAUCCUUUGGACGAGGGCCAACGUGACAACUAUUUCCCCGGGCUCAUCUACCCCGACGGCGGUGCUUCUGAACACCGGCAACCUCAUCAUUCGCUUGUCAAACGGCACCACAGUGUGGCAGAGCUUCGACCACCGCACAGACACGCUCCUCCCGGGGAUGAAGAUGCGGAUCAAAUACAGCACAAACGGUACUGGGGAUCGUCUGGUUUCCUGGAAGGGCCCCAACGAUCCCUCUCCAGGGCGCUUCUCCUACGGUGGCGACCCAGACACACCCCUCCAAGUAUUCCUGUGGGACGGGGAGAGCUUGGUGACCCGUGGCAAUCCCUGGACGGGGAUCCAAGUGACUAGCGUCAGCCAAAAACAGCUAGCAGGGACAAUGAGUUUUAGUGAUCUUAUCAUGUACAUCGCCGUGGUCGACAACGGUGAUGAGAUCUAUGGCACAUAUAGCCUCUCUGAGGGCGCCCCACUCACAAGGUCAGUGCUGACCUACUCAGGUGAGUAUUACCUCAAGAGCUGGAGUAGCAACUUGUCGGCGUGGGUUGUCCUUAUGAAGUGGCCAGCUGUUGAAUGCAACCUCCAUGGUUACUGUGGCCCGUAUGGCUACUGCGAUGAGACGGCGGCACCAGUCCCAAUGUGCAAGUGUCUUGAUGGCUUCGAGCCAACAAACAAAGAGGAGUGGACUAGCGGCAGGUUCUUGGCAGGAUGCCAGCGGAAGGAGCAGCUGCACGGGUGUGAUAGUAACUUCUUGGCCUUGCCGGCCAUGAAGUCACCAGACAAGCUAGCACUUAUUGGAGGGGGCACAAGUACGUUCGAGGAGUGUGCGGCUGAGUGCAACCACAAUUGCUCCUGUGUGGGGUACGUGUACCGCAACGCGAGUAGCGGCAGGUCUGGAGGAGACAUAACGGCAUGCAUGGUAUGGUCGGGGGUUGACACCGGAAAGGUAGGCAUAGGCGGCGAGACACUCUAUCUCCGACUUGCAGGCAUGGAUGCGGCAGGUGGUAAACAUAGAAAGAUUAAUGCGGUCAGGAUUGUGCUGUCGUUUUUAGGCAGUGGUGUUCUCGUACUCAUAUGCAUCUCUCUUGCAUGGUUAAAAUGCAAAGGCAAGAACAGAAGAUGGAGAAAGCACAAGAAUCUAAGAUUGGAUGGUAUAAGUACCUUCGAUGAAUUUGGGAACGAAAACACUUCUCAUGAUCAAGCAUUGGCAUUCGUGAAAUUAGAAGAAAUUGUCCUCGCUACCCAAAAUUUUUCGGAAGGAUGCAUGAUUGGACAAGGAGGCUUUGGAAAAGUAUACAAGGGACUGUUAGGUGGUCAAGAAGUCGCAGUAAAGAGGCUCAGUAGAGAUUCUCAACAAGGAACAAAAGAAUUCAGGAAUGAAGUGAUUCUAAUUGCAAAAUUGCAACAUAGAAACUUGGUUCGACUUCUUGGAUGUUGUAGUGAGGGAGAUGAAAAGCUCUUGAUAUAUGAGUAUCUUCCUAACAAGAGCUUAGAUGCUAACCUCUUUGACGACUCAAGAAAACAAUCAUUGGAUUGGAUAACACGGUUUAGUAUAAUCAAAGGGGUUGCCAGGGGUCUUCUAUAUCUUCAUGAAGACUCAAGGUUCACCAUAAUUCAUAGAGACCUCAAAGCUGGAAAUGUUUUGUUGGAUGAAGAUAUGAAACCCAAGAUAGCGGAUUUUGGUAUGGCCAGAAUCUUUGGUGACAACCAGCAAAACGCAAAUACCCAACGCGUAGUUGGAACAUAUGGGUACAUGGCUCCUGAGUAUGCAAUGGAAGGCGUAUUCUCUACCAAGUCUGACGUCUACAGUUUUGGUGUGCUGCUACUUGAGGUUGUAACUGGUAUUAAGAGAAACUCCAAUAGUCAAACCAUGGGAUUCCCUAGCCUCAUAAUAUAUUCAUGGCAUAUGUGGAAGGAAGAGAAGACCGAUGAACUGCCAGACUCAUGUAUCAUAGAUACUUCACCAGACGAAGUUUUGCUUUGCGUCCAGGUAGCACUCUUGUGUGUCCAGGAGAACCCAGAUGAUAGACCGCUCAUGUCAUCUAUUGUGUUCGUCCUAGAGAAUGGAAGCACCACACUUGCAGCUCCAAGCCGGCCCGCCUACUUUGCACGACGAAUAGCUGAAAUGGAUCAAAUGGGAAAUAAUAUGCAGACUUCCGCAAACAGUCUUACUCUUUCUGAGAUAGAGGGGCGAUGA